This is a long non-coding RNA of Leucoraja erinaceus (little skate), 1734 nucleotides long. RefSeq lists it as uncharacterized. Lineage: Eukaryota; Metazoa; Chordata; Chondrichthyes; Rajiformes; Rajidae. The transcript is spliced from 2 exons. The record is from RefSeq and is a predicted model, not a curated record.
ACACUAUAAUAAACACAAAAAGUUCAAUGUACGAAAUUAAAAAAAAACAUUAUAGUGCAAAGACAAAAACAAUGCCCAAAGUCCCUAGUCCGAUCAACGCAGUUCUGACUUCGGAGUUUAGUUGGAGUUCGUGGUGUUCAAUAGCCUGCUGGUUGUUUGGAAGAAGCUGCUCCUGAACCACAUUACAGUUUUCAGGAUCCUAUUCUUUCUUCCCAUUGGCAGGAGUAAAUGAGAGCAUGGUGUUGGUCCUUGAUGAUGCUGACUGCCAUUUUGAGGCAUUACCUCCUGUAGAUCUCUUUGAUGGUGGGGAUAGGUGAGGAAGGGGGAUAUCUGCUGUUUAAGUACCCAUCUGCUCAUUACUCGAGGAAGUUAGAGAAUAUACAAGGGCAUUUAAAAGUUAUGAAAUUAAAGUCAGCAAGGUCGGCCUUAAGCCGAUUGGACCGAUUGCUCCCAAUUGGGUGCCGCGCCUAAAGGGGGCCCCGCACUAAUGUUCCGUAUUUCGCACGGAAGUACGAAUUUGCUUUGUUAAAUAAAGAUUAUUUUAAAAACAUUCGCCAUCCGAAUUUCUUUAAAAAACGAACAUGGAUAACAACCGCUGCAUGGCCACCAGACACAAACGAUUUGUUAACUACUACUGUUAGCACUUGUUAACAGCCAGUAGUUAACAAGUAGUUAUACAAUGUCAUCAAUGCAUCGAUCCACAUUCCUCAGUAAAUGUAAUUGUGUUUGAACAAGUAUUAAUGACGUUGCGUUCCUUUGAAUACAAUUCACGUGGUGUCAUUAAUCCUUGUUCAAAAUACACUUUUUAACUUGGCACAGAGUGCUAUGGUUACCCGUUUUUUAUUGCACAAGAGUCGAGUCAAGAAUUUAUAAUUGUCAUGUGUACCCACAACAGAACAAUGAAAUUCUUAUUUGCAGCAGCAUAACAGGCGUUUAAACACAAUACUCAUAGAUUUCAAUGUGCCCUGAGGUGCCCGUCAUGGCCACCUGGCCAACAGUCUGUCUCGUCCUUUUUCUGUUUUUAUUAUUUUGUAGCGGCACCUAGUGGUUAAGCUGUGUAUUCAGAACUCUCAUCAUUGGUCGGGACUGUCACGUAACAGGCGGUUCGUUCGCGGGCUUUUCAGUAUGUUCAGUAGCUAGUGCUCUUCACGCCGACAAGAGCUUAAACGUUUAUUCCUGAUCAAGUACACGUGUGGUUCAAGUGUUGCUUUCGUUAAUAAAGAACAUUUUGCUCUACCUGCUUGUCUCACUGCAAUUUUAACCUACAACGUGGAGUGGUGCGGCCUUUCCUGGGGACCGGCCCAGAACUUCAAGCCGCAGGCGCAGCACGGACUUACCAUCGCAGAGCAGGCGAUCCUUUGCCGAGGAUCACCACGAAAGCACUCCGACCGCGGGGCCAGUGGACUUUAACACCAUGAAGCAGUGUUCCGAUCCGUCCCGAUGCCGGAGUUUCCAUCAUCCCGACGCAAGGGCUUGAACAUCAGACCGCUGGCAUCAGCACUGCGGAAGGUGCAUAGGCCCUGGCCACGGGUGAACAAAAGAGGAAUAUGACUGAACUUUAUUGCCUUCCUGUACAGUGAGGAAUGCGGAUUCCACUGUGGUGGAUGUUUAUGUUAAAUUUGAUUUUAUGUGUCUGUGUAUUGUUGCUUUUCGUAUGGCUGUAUGGUAACUCAAAUUUCACUGUACCUUAAUUGGUUAAGUGACAAUAAAUGCGAACUUGAACUUGGAAGAUAA